UCAGGACGAACGCUGGCGGCGUGCUUAACACAUGCAAGUCGAACGAUCUGGAGCUUGCUCCGGUGGAUUAGUGGCGAACGGGUGAGUAACACGUGAGAAUCUGCCCUUGACUCUGGGAUAACUGCGGGAAACUGUAGCUAAUACCGGAUACUUUCCUCGGGGGCAUCCAAUCAACGAAAUGUUCUGGCGCUCCAGGAUGGGCCCGCGUCCCAUUAGCUUGUUGGUAGGGUAACGGCCUACCAAGGCGACGAUGGGUAGCCGGCCUGAGAGGGUGAACGGCCACACUGGGACUGAGACACGGCCCAGACUCCUACGGGAGGCAGCAGUGCGCAAUGGGCGAAAGCCUGACGCAGCAACGCCGCGUGGAGGAUGAAGGUUUUCGGAUUGUAAACUCCUUUCAGCAGGGACGAAGGUUACCUUUGGUAAUUGACGGUACCUGAAGAAGAAGCCCCGGCUAACUACGUGCCAGCAGCCGCGGUAAUACGUAGGGGGCAAGCGUUGUCCGGAAUUAUUGGGCGUAAAGCGCGCGCAGGCGGCCCGUUAAGUCAGAUGUGAAAUCCCUCGGCUCAACCGAGGACCUGCAUUUGAAACUGACAGGCUAGAGUACAGGAGAGGGAAGCGGAAUUCCUAGUGUAGCGGUGAAAUGCGCAGAUAUUAGGAAGAACACCGGUGGCGAAGGCGGCUUCCUGGACUGUUACUGACGCUGAGGUGCGAAAGCUAGGGGAGCAAACAGGAUUAGAUACCCUGGUAGUCCUAGCCGUAAACGAUGGGCACUAGGUGUAGGGGGUAUCUGUCCUUCAGUGUCGCAGCUAACGCGUUAAGUUCUCCGCCUGGGGAGUACGCCGGCAACGGUAAAACUCAAAGGAAUUGACGGGGACCCGCACAAGCGGUGGAGCAUGUGGUUUAAUUCGAUGCAACGCGAAGAACCUUACCUGCCCUUGACAUUGACAGAAUCCUGUAGAGAUACGGGAGUGCUUCGGCCUGGAAAACAGGUGCUGCAUGGCUGUCGUCAGCUCGUGUCGUGAGAUGUUGGGUUAAGUCCCGCAACGAGCGCAACCCUUAUCCUUAGUUGCCAGAUUCGGUCGGGAACUCUAGAGAGACUGCCGGUGACAAACCGGAGGAAGGUGGGGACGAUGUCAAGUCAUCAUGGCCCUUACGGCCAGGGCUACACACGUGCUACAAGGGGGAGUACAAAGGGUUGCCAACCCGCGAGGGGGAGCAAAUCUCACAAAACUACUCGUAGUCCGGAUUGGAGUCUGCAACUCGACUCCAUGAAGUCGGAAUCGCUAGUAAUCGCGAAUCAGCAUGUCGCGGUGAAUACGUUCCCGGGCCUUGUACACACCGCCCGUCACACCAUGGGAGUGGGUUGUACCAGAAGUCGGUAGUCUAACCUUUGGGAGGACGCUUACCACGGUAUGGUUCAUGACUGGGGUG
Molecule: ribosomal RNA, 1434 nt
Filed under: uncultured prokaryote
Description: partial 16S ribosomal RNA
Rfam family: Bacterial small subunit ribosomal RNA
Source: RNAcentral